CACGGGGGGAGCAAGCGUUGUUCGGAAUCACUGGGCGUAAAGGGCGUGUAGGCGGUUGGGUAAGUGGGAUGUGAAAUGCCUCGGCUCACCCGAGGACCGGCAUCCCAAACUGCCUGACUUGAGUAUGGGAGAGGAUGAGGGAAUUCCUGGUGUAGCGGUGAAAUGCGUAGAUAUCUGGAGGAACACCGGUGGCGAAGGCGGCGUUCUGGACUGCAACUGACACUGAAAAACGAAAGCCAGGGGAGCAAACGGG
Molecule: ribosomal RNA, 253 nt
Filed under: uncultured prokaryote
Description: partial 16S ribosomal RNA
Rfam family: Bacterial small subunit ribosomal RNA
Source: RNAcentral